This 249-nucleotide signal recognition particle RNA is filed under the name Desulfobacterales bacterium. Its description in RNAcentral is "signal recognition particle sRNA large type". It matches the Rfam family "Bacterial large signal recognition particle RNA". From Rfam's summary of the family: The signal recognition particle (SRP) is a universally conserved ribonucleoprotein involved in the co-translational targeting of proteins to membranes. Archaeal SRP consists of a 7S RNA and homologues of the eukaryotic SRP19 and SRP54 proteins. Lineage: Bacteria; Pseudomonadati; Thermodesulfobacteriota; Desulfobacteria; Desulfobacterales. The record is from RNAcentral.
UUGUGCUAAGCGGGGAGCUAGCGGUGCCCUGUACCCGAAAUCCGCUUCAUGCGGGGCUGAAUCCCCCCCUGAAGGGUGGACCUCACCCGCCGGUUGGUUGCAUGGACCGGUCGCCGCGCAACAGACGGUUACGAACCUCGUCAGAUCCGGAAGGAAGCAGCGAUAAGUAACGCGGUCUGUGUCGCGGAUCGAUCCCGGUCAUUUUGCGGCUACCGGCUUUCGAGGAAUAUUCGACAGGGGGGUGCACAA